AUGGCAAGCUCAUUGAAGCUCUGGUGCCGUUCUCUCUUCCUCUUUCUUUUCUUCUUUUCUCUCCCUAUUCAUGGAGCAUUUUGUGCUGUUGCUUUUUGUUUAGGCUUUGGAUUUGAGAUUUUUUUUUUAAUUGCAAUGUGGUAUUCUAUUGGAAUUUGGAUUGGAAUUGUAUUGACUUUGUCGGAUUUGUUUUUGGAUAUUAAAAAUUUUUUCUCAUUUUAAGUGUUUGAUUAAAUGCUCGGAAGAGGCAAGCUGCAUUUUCAG
This 264-nucleotide unclassified non-coding RNA is filed under the name Hevea brasiliensis (rubber tree). The record is from RNAcentral. Lineage: Eukaryota; Viridiplantae; Streptophyta; Magnoliopsida; Malpighiales; Euphorbiaceae.